CGGGUGAGUAACACGUGGGUGACCUGCCUUCGAGCGGGGGAUAACGUCCCGAAAGGGACGCUAAUACCGCAUGACAUCCUGUCUUUCGACAGGCGGAGAUCAAAGCCGGGGAUCGCAAGACCUGGCACUCGAAGAGGGGCCCGCGCCCGAUUAGCUAGUUGGUGAGGUAACGGCUCACCAAGGCAACGAUCGGUAGCCGGCCUGAGAGGGCGGACGGCCACACUGGGACUGAGACACGGCCCAGACUCCUACGGGAGGCAGCAGUGGGGAAUUGUUCGCAAUGGGCGCAAGCCUGACGACGCAACGCCGCGUGGAGGAUGAAGAUCUUCGGGUCGUAAACUCCUUUCGAUCGAGACGAACGGCCUCCGGGUGAACAAUCCGGAGGAGUGACGGUACCGAGAGAAGAAGCCCCGGCUAACUCCGUGCCAGCAGCCGCGGUAAUACGGGGGGGGCAAGCGUUGUUCGGAAUUACUGGGCGUAAAGGGCUCGUAGGUGGCCAACUAAGUCAGACGUGAAAUCCCUCGGCUUAACCGGGGAACUGCGUCUGAUACUGGAUGGCUCGAGUUUGGGAGAGGGAUGCGGAAUUCCAGGUGUAGCGGUGAAAUGCGUAGAUAUCUGGAGGAAC
This 625-nucleotide ribosomal RNA is filed under the name uncultured bacterium. Its description in RNAcentral is "bacterial SSU rRNA". It matches the Rfam family "Bacterial small subunit ribosomal RNA", at positions 103 to 707 of the family's 1533-position model. The record is from RNAcentral.